This 397-nucleotide ribosomal RNA is filed under the name uncultured bacterium. Its description in RNAcentral is "partial 16S ribosomal RNA". It matches the Rfam family "Bacterial small subunit ribosomal RNA", at positions 523 to 918 of the family's 1533-position model. The record is from RNAcentral.
AUACGUAGGUGACAAGCGUUAUCCGGAUUUACUGGGCGUAAAGGGCGUGUAGGCGGUCUUGCAAGUCAGAAGUGAAAUUCCUGAGCUCAACUCGGGCGCUGCUUCUGAAACUGCAGGACUUGAGUGCUGGAGGGGAUAGCGGAAUUCCUAGUGGAGCGGUAAAAUGCGCAGAUAUUAGGAAGAACACCGGUGGCGAAGGCGGCUAUCUGGACAGUAACUGACGCUGAGGCGCGAAAGCGUGGGGAGCAAACAGGAUUAGAUACCCUGGUAGGCCACGCCGUAAACGAUGAAUACUAGGUGUAGGGGGUAUCGACUCCCUCUGUGCCGCAGUUAACACAAUAAGUAUUCCGCCUGGGGAGUACGGCCGCAAGGUUGAAACUCAAAUGAAUUGGCGGGG